This is a non-coding RNA of Acyrthosiphon pisum (pea aphid), 1649 nucleotides long. Lineage: Eukaryota; Metazoa; Arthropoda; Insecta; Hemiptera; Aphididae. The record is from Rfam.
GCUGGUUCCAUCCGAAGUUUCCCUCAGGAUAGCUGGCGCCGAUGUGUCCCGCCCGUUCGCGGGCGUACGGACGCCGGUGGGACUCCGCGCUGUACGGCGCGGUAACAACACGCUCGUAACACGGAGGAUGUCUCAUACGGUAAAGCGAAUGAUUAGAGGACAUUGGGGCCGAAACGACCUCAACCUAUUCUCAAACUAUAAAUGAGUGAGAUCGCCGGCUUUACCUGGUACACCGCGUGAACCGCGUGCGAAGCCGGCGACGGAACCCUAGGCGCUUAGUGGGCCAUUUUUGGUAAGCAGAACUGGCGCUGCGGGAUGAACCGAACGCCGAGUUAAGGCGCCGAAAUCGACGCGUAUUCAGAGACCAUGAAAGGCGUUGGUUGCUGAUGACAGCAGGACGGUGGCCAUGGAAGUCGGAAUCCGCUAAGGAGUGUGUAACAACUCACCUGCCGAAGCAACUAGCUCUGAAAAUGGAUGGCGCUGGAGCGUCGUGCCUAUACUCGGCCGUCGACGGCAUAGUGGGGCCAGUCGUCGCUCGCGGCGGCCGGUCCCGGCAAGCCUCGACGAGUAGGAUGGCGCGGCGGUGUGCGUCGAAGGGCAGGUCGCGAGACCGCCUGGAGCCGCCGUCGGUGCAGAUCUUGGUGGUAGUAGCAAAUACUCGAGAGGGGCCCUCGGGGGCUGCCGUGGAGAAGGGUUUCUUGUGAACAGCCGUUGUCCAAGAGUCAGUCGAUCCUAAGCCCGGGGAGAGAUCCUCGUACCACGGGCGAAGGCGUUUUCGAAUCGCCCUUGGGGCGAGAGGGAAUCCGGUUCGUAUUCCGGAACCCGACGCGGAACCGCUCCCUAGUGUUCGGGGCUCUUUUGUCUCGUCUGGGUAACCAGAAUGAACUCGAAGAAGCCGCCGGGGGAUCUGGGUAGAGUUCUCUUUUCUCUGUGAGCGUUGUACGUCCCUGGAAUCCUCUAGCCGGGCGAUAGGGACGCGAGCGCGAAGAGCACCGCUCGUUGCGGCGGUGUCCGUGAUCCCCACGCGGACCUUGAAAAUUCGAGAGAGGGCCACGCGGAGUCUUCGCGUCGGUUCGUACCGAUAUCCGCAGCAGGUCUCCGAGGUGAGCAGCCUCUAGCCGCAUAGAAUAAUGUAGGUAAGGGAAGUCGGCAAAACCGAUCCGUAACUUCGGGAUAAGGAUUGGCUCUGAGGAGCGUGGCUGCCGGGUUCGGGUCGUCGUAGAAGCGUAGGCGUUUUUUGGCGACACCCCGGCCGUCGCCCGUGCGCCCGGUCUUCGGAACGGGAGCCUCGAGGCGGCCGCGGGCCCGUCGCCGUCCGCCGACCGUGGAACCACCGAGCUUCGGUCGCUGGCCGCGUCGCGGCCGGCCGACCGCCUUGGUGUCGGUUCGCCGUCACCGGGCGGUCCGGCCGCCGCGCCGUCGGUCGCGUAGCCGGAUCGACAGCCAUGUAACGGUCAACUCAGAACUGGCACGGACCAGGGGAAUCCGACUGUCUAAUUAAAACAAAGCAUCGCGAUGGCCCGGGACGGGUGUUGACGCGAUGUGAUUUCUGCCCAGUGCUCUGAAUGUCAACGUGAAGAAAUUCAAGCAAGCGCGGGUAAACGGCAGGAGUAACUAUGACUCUUUUAAGGUAGCCAAAUGCCUCGUCA